GAUGAAGAACGUAGCGAACUGCGAUAAGUAAUGUGAAUUGCAGAAUUCAGUGAAUCAUCGAGUCUUUGAACGCACAUUGCGCCCUCUGGUAUUCCGGGGGGCAUGCCUGUUCGAGCGUCAUUAUAACCACUCAAGCUCUCGCUUGGUAUUGGAGUUCACGAUCUCGCGGCUCCUAAAAUCAGUGGCGGUGCCUGUCGGCUCUACGCGUAGUAAUACUCCUCGCGAUUGAGUCCGGUAGGUUUACUUGCCAGCAACCCCCAAUUUUUACAGGUUGACCUCGGAUCAGGUAGGGAUACCCGCUGAACUUAAGCAUAUCAAUAAGCGGAGGA
This 329-nucleotide unclassified non-coding RNA is filed under the name soil metagenome. RNAcentral's name for it is "partial contains 5.8S ribosomal RNA, internal transcribed spacer 2, and large subunit ribosomal RNA". The stretch from base 1 to 120 matches the Rfam family "5.8S ribosomal RNA", at positions 35 to 154 of the family's 154-position model. The record is from RNAcentral.